Long non-coding RNA from Lagopus muta (rock ptarmigan), 1085 nucleotides. RefSeq lists it as uncharacterized. The record is from RefSeq and is a predicted model, not a curated record. NCBI's taxonomy places the organism in Eukaryota, Metazoa, Chordata, Aves, Galliformes, Phasianidae. The transcript has 4 exons.
AUGAGGCCUUGCUGACAGCUUCCAGACUGAAAAAGAAAGCAGAGGGAAAAGGAGCAUUUCCCUGACCUUCCUCGGUGAUUGCUCAGAACUGUGUCUACUGAUGGCCGUGUCUAACACUGUCAAGAAGAGCCAAGAGAAGUAAAAAUCUGAGGAGUGAGAUGUUCUGCUAGCAUAGAAAAGCCAGCUGGAGAAACAAAAACAAACGUCACACAGCUGUACAAACGAGGGGGAAUUGUUACAGUCACUGUAGGAACAUAAAUGGAGAACCAGCCUAAGAAGUGUGAGGAAACUGAGGGCAACAGAAUGAAUUGAUCACACCGCACCAUGAAGCAGAUGGGCCCGAUGAGGUGCAUCUUCCACUGAGAAAUCAUUCAGCAAUACAUGAAUGCACUGUUUGAUGCCACCUUAUCAAAAUCAAUAAUUUGUCUUUCAAAACAGCUUUUUAUGUAAGGAAAGGCCAGAUGUGAGUUUUAUCCAAGACAGAAAAGCCAUCCUGAACUUCUCCUCCUCACAGAAUUGUAGCAGGGGAAGGAGGAUUUGACCCUCACUAAGUGAAGGAGUUGCUGAUUUAGUCAAGACAAGAACAGGAUGCGAUGCUUUGGUCUGGUGCAUUGACAUUUGCAUCUCUGAGUGAGAAUGCUUGUUUUCAUUGGAGGAACAGCAAGGCUGCCUUUUGAAACACUUAAGGGGAGAAUGCAGAGAAAACCAGGAGUUUGAAGAGGCUGCUCGCUGGCAAACCAGACCGCAGCAUUUGCUACGGUGGUCGUAGAUCAGUCUGCUCAGAGAAAGCGGCCAUUGUCAGAAGAUUCCCACUCAAGUCCCAUUGACUUUAUGGAUAGUCCUCGGGAUCUUGUCUGAGCACAUCCAAAUGUUUGUACAGCACCUGAUGCAAACAGGCCGUCGUCCUGCUUCAUUUGUCAAAUGAUAAAUAACAUAAUAAUGCUAUAAUUGAAGUCAUUCAUACAGGCAGUAAUCAUCUGGUGAUUCAGUACAGCACAGACUUGUUAGGUGGAAGGCUGUGCUAAGCGUAUGCGGAGACUUCUAUCUUGCUCAUCAGUUUCUGCAUGCUAAAUAUAUUCUGAAUU